This 390-nucleotide ribosomal RNA is filed under the name Lysinibacillus fusiformis. RNAcentral describes it as "bacterial SSU rRNA". It matches the Rfam family "Bacterial small subunit ribosomal RNA", at positions 977 to 1366 of the family's 1533-position model. The record is from RNAcentral. Lineage: Bacteria; Bacillati; Bacillota; Bacilli; Caryophanales; Bacillaceae.
GGUCUUGACAUCCCGUUGACCACUGUAGAGAUAUGGUUUCCCCUUCGGGGGCAACGGUGACAGGUGGUGCAUGGUUGUCGUCAGCUCGUGUCGKGAGAUGUUGGGUUAAGUCCCGCAACGAGCGCAACCCUUGAUCUUAGUUGCCAUCAUUUAGUUGGGCACUCUAAGGUGACUGCCGGUGACAAACCGGAGGAAGGKGGGGAUGACGUCAAAUCAUCAUGCCCCUUAUGACCUGGGCUACACACGUGCUACAAUGGACRAUACAAACGGUUGCCAACUCGSGAGAGGGAGCUAAUCCGAUAAAGUCGUUCUCAGUUCGGAUUGUAGGCUGCAACUCGCCUACAUGAAGCCGGAAUCGCUAGUAAUCGCGGAUCAGCAUGCCGCGGUGAA